GCAGAGGUAGUUCAAUGGUAGAAUUCCUGCUUUUCAUGCAGGUGACAUGGGUUUGAUUCCCGGCCAACGUA
Molecule: transfer RNA, 71 nt
Filed under: Loxodonta africana (African savanna elephant)
Lineage: Eukaryota; Metazoa; Chordata; Mammalia; Proboscidea; Elephantidae
Rfam family: tRNA
About the family: Transfer RNA (tRNA) molecules are approximately 80 nucleotides in length. Their secondary structure includes four short double-helical elements and three loops (D, anti-codon, and T loops). Further hydrogen bonds mediate the characteristic L-shaped molecular structure. tRNAs have two regions of fundamental functional importance: the anti-codon, which is responsible for specific mRNA codon recognition, and the 3' end, to which the tRNAs corresponding amino acid is attached (by aminoacyl-tRNA synthetases). tRNAs cope with the degeneracy of the genetic code in two manners: having more than one tRNA (with a specific anti-codon) for a particular amino acid; and 'wobble' base-pairing, i.e. permitting non-standard base-pairing at the 3rd anti-codon position.
Source: Rfam by way of RNAcentral